RNAcentral lists this ribosomal RNA (2905 nucleotides) under Escherichia coli. RNAcentral's name for it is "23S ribosomal RNA". It matches the Rfam family "Bacterial large subunit ribosomal RNA". The record is from RNAcentral. Lineage: Bacteria; Pseudomonadati; Pseudomonadota; Gammaproteobacteria; Enterobacterales; Enterobacteriaceae.
GGUUAAGCGACUAAGCGUACACGGUGGAUGCCCUGGCAGUCAGAGGCGAUGAAGGACGUGCUAAUCUGCGAUAAGCGUCGGUGAGGUGAUAUGAACCGUUAUAACCGGCGAUUUCCGAAUGGGGAAACCCAGUGUGUUUCGACACACUAUCAUUAACUGAAUCCAUAGGUUAAUGAGGCGAACCGGGGGAACUGAAACAUCUAAGUACCCCGAGGAAAAGAAAUCAACCGAGAUUCCCCCAGUAGCGGCGAGCGAACGGGGAGCAGCCCAGAGCCUGAAUCAGUGUGUGUGUUAGUGGAAGCGUCUGGAAAGGCGCGCGAUACAGGGUGACAGCCCCGUACACAAAAAUGCACAUGCUGUGAGCUCGAUGAGUAGGGCGGGACACGUGGUAUCCUGUCUGAAUAUGGGGGGACCAUCCUCCAAGGCUAAAUACUCCUGACUGACCGAUAGUGAACCAGUACCGUGAGGGAAAGGCGAAAAGAACCCCGGCGAGGGGAGUGAAAAAGAACCUGAAACCGUGUACGUACAAGCAGUGGGAGCCUCUUUAUGGGGUGACUGCGUACCUUUUGUAUAAUGGGUCAGCGACUUAUAUUCUGUAGCAAGGUUAACCGAAUAGGGGAGCCGAAGGGAAACCGAGUCUUAACUGGGCGUUAAGUUGCAGGGUAUAGACCCGAAACCCGGUGAUCUAGCCAUGGGCAGGUUGAAGGUUGGGUAACACUAACUGGAGGACCGAACCGACUAAUGUUGAAAAAUUAGCGGAUGACUUGUGGCUGGGGGUGAAAGGCCAAUCAAACCGGGAGAUAGCUGGUUCUCCCCGAAAGCUAUUUAGGUAGCGCCUCGUGAAUUCAUCUCCGGGGGUAGAGCACUGUUUCGGCAAGGGGGUCAUCCCGACUUACCAACCCGAUGCAAACUGCGAAUACCGGAGAAUGUUAUCACGGGAGACACACGGCGGGUGCUAACGUCCGUCGUGAAGAGGGAAACAACCCAGACCGCCAGCUAAGGUCCCAAAGUCAUGGUUAAGUGGGAAACGAUGUGGGAAGGCCCAGACAGCCAGGAUGUUGGCUUAGAAGCAGCCAUCAUUUAAAGAAAGCGUAAUAGCUCACUGGUCGAGUCGGCCUGCGCGGAAGAUGUAACGGGGCUAAACCAUGCACCGAAGCUGCGGCAGCGACGCUUAUGCGUUGUUGGGUAGGGGAGCGUUCUGUAAGCCUGCGAAGGUGUGCUGUGAGGUAUGCUGGAGGUAUCAGAAGUGCGAAUGCUGACAUAAGUAACGAUAAAGCGGGUGAAAAGCCCGCUCGCCGGAAGACCAAGGGUUCCUGUCCAACGUUAAUCGGGGCAGGGUGAGUCGACCCCUAAGGCGAGGCCGAAAGGCGUAGUCGAUGGGAAACAGGUUAAUAUUCCUGUACUUGGUGUUACUGCGAAGGGGGGACGGAGAAGGCUAUGUUGGCCGGGCGACGGUUGUCCCGGUUUAAGCGUGUAGGCUGGUUUUCCAGGCAAAUCCGGAAAAUCAAGGCUGAGGCGUGAUGACGAGGCACUACGGUGCUGAAGCAACAAAUGCCCUGCUUCCAGGAAAAGCCUCUAAGCAUCAGGUAACAUCAAAUCGUACCCCAAACCGACACAGGUGGUCAGGUAGAGAAUACCAAGGCGCUUGAGAGAACUCGGGUGAAGGAACUAGGCAAAAUGGUGCCGUAACUUCGGGAGAAGGCACGCUGAUAUGUAGGUGAAGCGACUUGCUCGUGGAGCUGAAAUCAGUCGAAGAUACCAGCUGGCUGCAACUGUUUAUUAAAAACACAGCACUGUGCAAACACGAAAGUGGACGUAUACGGUGUGACGCCUGCCCGGUGCCGGAAGGUUAAUUGAUGGGGUUAGCGGUAACGCGAAGCUCUUGAUCGAAGCCCCGGUAAACGGCGGCCGUAACUAUAACGGUCCUAAGGUAGCGAAAUUCCUUGUCGGGUAAGUUCCGACCUGCACGAAUGGCGUAAUGAUGGCCAGGCUGUCUCCACCCGAGACUCAGUGAAAUUGAACUCGCUGUGAAGAUGCAGUGUACCCGCGGCAAGACGGAAAGACCCCGUGAACCUUUACUAUAGCUUGACACUGAACAUUGAGCCUUGAUGUGUAGGAUAGGUGGGAGGCUUUGAAGUGUGGACGCCAGUCUGCAUGGAGCCGGCCUUGAAAUACCACCCUUUAAUGUUUGAUGUUCUAACGUUGGCCCCUGAUCGGGGUUGCGGACAGUGUCUGGUGGGUAGUUUGACUGGGGCGGUCUCCUCCUAAAGAGUAACGGAGGAGCACGAAGGUUGGCUAAUCCUGGUCGGACAUCAGGAGGUUAGUGCAAUGGCAUAAGCCAGCUUGACUGCGAGCGUGACGGCGCGAGCAGGUGCGAAAGCAGGUCAUAGUGAUCCGGUGGUUCUGAAUGGAAGGGCCAUCGCUCAACGGAUAAAAGGUACUCCGGGGAUAACAGGCUGAUACCGCCCAAGAGUUCAUAUCGACGGCGGUGUUUGGCACCUCGAUGUCGGCUCAUCACAUCCUGGGGCUGAAGUAGGUCCCAAGGGUAUGGCUGUUCGCCAUUUAAAGUGGUACGCGAGCUGGGUUUAGAACGUCGUGAGACAGUUCGGUCCCUAUCUGCCGUGGGCGCUGGAGAACUGAGGGGGGCUGCUCCUAGUACGAGAGGACCGGAGUGGACGCAUCACUGGUGUUCGGGUUGUCAUGCCAAUGGCACUGCCCGGUAGCUAAAUGCGGAAGAGAUAAGUGCUGAAAGCAUCUAAGCACGAAACUUGCCCCGAGAUGAGUUCUCCCUGAGACUUAGAGUCUCCUGAAGGAACGUUGAAGACGACGACGUUGAUAGGCCGGGUGUGUAAGCGCAGCGAUGCGUUGAGCUAACCGGUACUAAUGAACCGUGAGGCUUAACCUU